Molecule: long non-coding RNA, 1601 nt
Organism: Pezoporus flaviventris
Lineage: Eukaryota; Metazoa; Chordata; Aves; Psittaciformes; Psittacidae
Exons: 3
Source: RefSeq, a predicted model, not a curated record
GCCUGGUAUGCUGCUUUCACCUUCUCACAUGGCUUCUGCCCCACCUCUGAUAUGAUUUACUCCUUUCUCAUUUCAGAGUUUUUUGCUUCUUUCCUUCCACCAGCUUUUUUUCUGAUUGUGGCUUCUUGCUUUUAUUUUCCCUGGUGCAGUAUUGGCCCAUACUCAAAGUAGCAAGGCCAGUAGUAAUCUAUGAGUUUCUGUCUGUGCCUGCAAGCUUUAAUGCUUUCUGUGGCAGUGAACGGGACUAUAUGGUCCAUAACAGUUGAAAAAUAUCCUGAUAAUAAACUGGCAUGUUCCAACUUUAAUAGGAUAAAAAUAAAUAAUGCACUGCACUAGUAACAGAUCUGUAGUCAUUCAGGUUUAAAAUAACUAGAUAUAAUGUAGUAUUGUCCAUGGUGCUCAUGCUUUACACCUUUUUCAGCAUUGACAACAGUGAUGCGGUAUGGGCUGCCUAAUGUGGCAGGGAAAGCAUGGUUAGCCCAGACACCCUCCGGCUCUUCUGUGAAACCACUGUUUGCUAAACAGCCACCAACAGUCUGUGAAAAAAAAUAGCAUCUUGCUCGAUACAAAGGCUCUUUGCCCUGUAUUGUUUGGGACUGCUGUUUUAGAGCUACAUUGCUAAUUUUUAACCUCAAACAUGACAAACACCAUGAGGUUGAAAAAGUAGCAACACUUUAUCCUGUAUAAGUGCAAUGCAUAUAUAUCCUGCCAUACUGUUCAGCUGCUGGAAUUACCAACAUUUGUUUAUUCAUUCCUCUUAGUAAAAACAAGGAUGUCUGCUGGCUUGGUGCAGCGGCUUCGGAGAAGCUGGUGGGGGAAGGCAAAAAGGAAAUCAUGGUAUAUAGCAGGAACUGUCCAUCUGUGUGAGAGCUGCAGUCAGAGGGAUGGUGUGUGACUGACAGUGGGUCAUCUGAGCAUUUCUACACUGUGGAAGCGCGUUGUCUGCCUACAGCAGACUUUCACCAGUGGAGAGGAAAAUACUUCUAUAUGGAAGAAACUAGAACAUGUGGAGAAGACAAUGAACUUCUAACUUCCUGGAUCAUACGAAAACACGUAAAAGAAUACAUUUAUACCAGAUGCAUCUCCUUCAUCAGAAUCUCAUUAAUUUUUACUAAAAAUUCCAUAAUACAGGAAGCUGCUGCCAAAAGCUAUCGGCAAACAAAAUACCGCAAUGCUCUGAACGGUUUCUCAAGUGAUGGCUCUGAGCUUUUUCCAAUCUUGAGUGCAGAAUGCGAAGAAACUUAAAAGACUUUUAAACGGUUUGUAGUUUUUUCAUUUAUUGUAGAAAAGUUAUUGUAAUGCAGUUCAUUUUUGUACAUCUAAAUUCCAUAAAACAAAUCCAUAGAAAUGAGGAUACUAUCAGCAUGCAGUCUGCAUUGUCCUUUUUAAAUGAUUCUGAUCACAAAAAUAACACCACUUUUUUUUCUUUCUUUGAAAGCCACUAAAAGCAGAGGGAGAGCAGAGCAUGCAACACUGUACACAUUUGCAUAGUAUAUUUUACCCAGCAUGCCUUGUAGAAUGCUACACAUACAGUAUCUAUAGAAGGAAAACCAGAAAGGGGCAAAUCAGCAGAAAACACACAUUUGUGGGUAUUUCUUUAG